This 93-nucleotide transfer RNA is filed under the name bacterium. Its description in RNAcentral is "tRNA-Ile". It matches the Rfam family "tRNA". Rfam says of the family: Transfer RNA (tRNA) molecules are approximately 80 nucleotides in length. Their secondary structure includes four short double-helical elements and three loops (D, anti-codon, and T loops). Further hydrogen bonds mediate the characteristic L-shaped molecular structure. tRNAs have two regions of fundamental functional importance: the anti-codon, which is responsible for specific mRNA codon recognition, and the 3' end, to which the tRNAs corresponding amino acid is attached (by aminoacyl-tRNA synthetases). tRNAs cope with the degeneracy of the genetic code in two manners: having more than one tRNA (with a specific anti-codon) for a particular amino acid; and 'wobble' base-pairing, i.e. permitting non-standard base-pairing at the 3rd anti-codon position. The record is from RNAcentral.
GGGAGUGUAGCUCAAUUGGCAGAGCGGAAAGCUUAUACCUUUCGUAUACGGCAGAUUACCGUGCGGUUGGGGGUUCAAGUCCCUCCAUUCCUA